AGAGUUUGAUCCUGGCUCAGGACGAACGCUGGCGGCGUGCCUAAUACAUGCAAGUCGAGCGCGGGAAGCGAGUGGAUCUCCUUCGGGAGUGAUACUCGUGGAACGAGCGGCGGACGGGUGAGUAACACGUGGGCAACCUACCUGUAAGAUCGGAAUAACCCCGGGAAACCGGGGCUAAUGCCGGGUAACACUUUCUUUCGCAUGAAGGAAAGUUAAAAGAUGGCUUCUUGCUAUCACUUACAGAUGGGCCCGCGGCGCAUUAGCUAGUUGGUGAGGUAACGGCUCACCAAGGCGACGAUGCGUAGCCGACCUGAGAGGGUGAUCGGCCACACUGGGACUGAGACACGGCCCAGACUCCUACGGGAGGCAGCAGUAGGGAAUCUUCCGCAAUGGACGAAAGUCUGACGGAGCAACGCCGCGUGAACGAUGAAGGUUUUCGGAUCGUAAAGUUCUGUUGUUAGGGAAGAACAAGUACCGUUCAAACAGGGCGGUACCUUGACGGUACCUAACGAGAAAGCCCCGGCUAACUACGUGCCAGCAGCCGCGAUAAUACGUAGGGGGCAAGCGUUGUCCGGAAUUAUUGGGCGUAAAGCGCGCGCAGGCGGUUCCUUAAGUCUGAUGUGAAAGCCCACGGCUCAACCGUGGAGGGCCAUUGGAAACUGGGGAACUUGAGGACAGAAGAGGAGAGUGGAAUUCCACGUGUAGCGGUGAAAUGCGUAGAUAUGUGGAGGAACACCAGUGGCGAAGGCGACUCUCUGGUCUGUCUCUGACGCUGAGGUGCGAAAGCGUGGGUAGCAAACAGGAUUAGAUACCC
This 814-nucleotide ribosomal RNA is filed under the name uncultured bacterium. RNAcentral describes it as "bacterial SSU rRNA". It matches the Rfam family "Bacterial small subunit ribosomal RNA", at positions 8 to 787 of the family's 1533-position model. The record is from RNAcentral.